This 345-nucleotide ribosomal RNA is filed under the name uncultured bacterium. Its description in RNAcentral is "bacterial SSU rRNA". It matches the Rfam family "Bacterial small subunit ribosomal RNA", at positions 29 to 361 of the family's 1533-position model. The record is from RNAcentral.
AACGAACGCUGGCGGCGUGGAUAAGACAUGCAAGUCGCACGGGAUAUUUCUGGUAGCAAUAUUAGAAAUGUCCAGUGGCGCAAGGGUGCGUAACACGUGGGCAAUCUGCCGAGAAGUGGGGGAUAGCUCGCCGAAAGGCGAAUUAAUACCGCAUGUGGCCAGGGAGGACAUCCUCCCGACGCCAAAGCCGGGGCAACCUGGCGCUUCUUGAUGAGCCCGCGGCCAUCAGCUAGUUGGUGAGGUAACGGCUCACCAAGGCUAUGACGGGUAGCUGGUCUGAGAGGACGACCAGCCACACUGGAACUGAGACACGGUCCAGACACCUACGGGUGCAGCAGUCGAGAA